GUCGGAGUGGUCGAGGGGGAGCAUGAUCAGAUCUUUUGACUAAAUCUAAUUUUCAGCAUCAAAGGGCACUCAUCCGAUUUUCGAAAUUCCCCGGCAGUAUAUGUGGAGCCCAACAUGUUUCUCAUGUUCUAAAAU
Non-coding RNA from Caenorhabditis elegans, 135 nucleotides. NCBI's taxonomy places the organism in Eukaryota, Metazoa, Nematoda, Chromadorea, Rhabditida, Rhabditidae. The record is from Ensembl.